Molecule: ribosomal RNA, 238 nt
Filed under: uncultured bacterium
Lineage: Bacteria
Description: partial 16S ribosomal RNA
Rfam family: Bacterial small subunit ribosomal RNA
Source: RNAcentral
CCGGCACGGGUGAGUAACACGUAUCCAACCUGCCGUCUACUCUUGGCCAGCCUUCUGAAAGGAAGAUUAAUCCAGGAUGGCAUCAUGAGUUCACAUGUCCGCAUGAUUAAAGGUAUUUUCCGGUAGACGAUGGGGAUGCGUUCCAUUAGAUAGUAGGCGGGGUAACGGCCCACCUAGCAACGAUGGAUAGGGGUUCUGAGAGGAAGGUCCCCCACAUUGGAACUGAGACACGGUCCAA